RNAcentral lists this ribosomal RNA (472 nucleotides) under uncultured Pseudomonadota bacterium. RNAcentral describes it as "bacterial SSU rRNA". It matches the Rfam family "Bacterial small subunit ribosomal RNA", at positions 35 to 503 of the family's 1533-position model. The record is from RNAcentral. Lineage: Bacteria; Pseudomonadati; Pseudomonadota.
GCUGGCGGUAGGCUUAACACAUGCAAGUCGAGCGAGAAAGUAUCUUCGGAUAUGAGUAGAGCGGCGGACGGGUGAGUAACGCGUAGGAAUCUACCUAGUAGAAGGGGAUAGCCCGGGGAAACUCGGAUUAAUACCGUAUACCUCCUAAGGGAGAAAGAGGGCCUCUCUUGAAGCUCUCGCUAUUAGAUGAGCCUGCGUAAGAUUAGCUUGUUGGUAAGGUAAUGGCUUACCAAGGCUACGAUCUUUAGCUGGUCUGAGAGGACGAUCAGCCACAUUGGGACUGAGACACGGCCCAGACUCCUACGGGAGGCAGCAGUGGGGAAUAUUGGACAAUGGGCGCAAGCCUGAUCCAGCCAUACCGCGUGUGUGAAGAAGGCCUUCGGGUUGUAAAGCACUUUAAGCAGGGAGAAAAAGCAAUAAGUUAAUACCUUAUUGCCGUGAUGUUACCUGCAGAAUAAGCACCGGCUAAUUC